AGCCCUGGGGUGGAACGCCCCUUUGCCUGGCAUGGCUUAAGGCAGCCCCCUGAACGCCGGCGUCCUCGGCCCGGCAGGGCGGCGAGGCAGGGGCUGCAGGCUGGGCGGGCGGACAGGACAAGGGCGCCUCGGGGCCCCUGCUUAGGAACCUGCCCUGGAAGCACAAAUGUCAGUGACAUGUCAGCUCCCAACUGACGAGGGGCUGACCCACAGGCCCGGCGCUGAGCUGCGCUGGCACUGCUCCACCCGCUGUGUUCCAGUGUGUUCUCGAACCUAACAGAAACCUCCAGAGUGCAAAUCUAUGUACAGAGUAAGGCGGCAGGAAGGGGGUCCUCACUGACCUCGUGGAACAUGUCCAUCCCUGAGAAAGGGGGUUCAACUCCGCGGAAUCUCACCUUCGUGGGCA
This is a non-coding RNA of Ceratotherium simum simum (southern white rhinoceros), 406 nucleotides long. The record is from RefSeq and is a predicted model, not a curated record. Lineage: Eukaryota; Metazoa; Chordata; Mammalia; Perissodactyla; Rhinocerotidae.